UUUGCAAUAAAUCGGUCUAUAAAAAUCUACAGUUAAACUAUGAUAUAUUUUACUUUAAUUUUUGCACGAAUAAAAGAAAGAACUAUACCGCUUUAGCCAAUCAGAAAAUAGCUAGGGUCUAACACCGAGACGAAUCAGUGCGCAUCAUAGUGCGCAUGUCAUCAGUCUACAGUUGAAAAUCGUGGUGAUAGGUCACGUUUCACCGGCUGAAAAUGAACAUCUUUGUGGGAAAUUAUCAUUUCAUCGUAAGCAAGAUGGCUUUGAAAGUGUAGUUUCUACGCAUACCAUGGCAAUUGAGAGAUAAUUCGACAACUUUGACACAAAUAUGAUAUUUUACAUUUCCUGAAUGGAUCAUGACAACAUCGACAGGAAUAUUCUUCGCAUCUAAUGAUCGCGUUUCAUACGGGAAUUUGUACUGUUCAGAUGGUCGAAAAAUACGCGCAGGUAAGGUCG
RNAcentral lists this long non-coding RNA (453 nucleotides) under Apis mellifera (honey bee). RNAcentral describes it as "uncharacterized LOC113218891, transcript variant X1". Lineage: Eukaryota; Metazoa; Arthropoda; Insecta; Hymenoptera; Apidae. The record is from RNAcentral.